This 97-nucleotide microRNA precursor is filed under the name Pediculus humanus corporis (human body louse). Its description in RNAcentral is "microRNA mir-598". Lineage: Eukaryota; Metazoa; Arthropoda; Insecta; Psocodea; Pediculidae. The record is from RNAcentral.
GACAGAUGAUGAUGAUGAUGAUGAUAAUGAUGAUGAAAAAUGUGCGCGUAAAUGUUUGUAACGAUUCUCAUCAUCAUUAUUAUCAUCAUCGUUUGCU